This 2427-nucleotide long non-coding RNA is filed under the name Nicotiana tabacum (common tobacco). RNAcentral's name for it is "long non-coding RNA (NTAB_LNC015762)". The record is from RNAcentral. Lineage: Eukaryota; Viridiplantae; Streptophyta; Magnoliopsida; Solanales; Solanaceae.
AACAACUGAUCAGGUGAAGUUAAAAAGUUUUUACCAGUAAGUCUUGUUGUUAUUGAUUGUAAUUUCUCCAACAAACUUUUAAGCACGCAUUGCUAUUUUGUAUCGACAUAUUUAUCUAAAUGUUCGUAUUUGGAAAUACAUUUGAUGACUAACUGUGUGCCUUUUUUGUCAGAAUCUUAUUCAUAUUUUGAACCUUUAAGCCAUUAUUGAUGGACGAAGUGAGAUUGCAGAUGGAAUAAGUGACGCAGAAGCUAUAUCAGACUUCACUCUCUUCAAAUCCUUUAAUGUUUUGUCUUGGAGCAACAGAUUCCCAAAUUGAGUAAAUCGUUAACCAUGAUGAAACAAGUAAGACUCUCUCUUUAGGCCCCCAAAUCUAAGAUGCCCAUUUUUUCAGCAAUAGUAAAUUUAUAAUUUUUUUUAAAUAAAAAAUAUUAGACUUACAAAGUUUGCUUUGCAGAAGCGGAUCCAUUACAACCACGGCUGAAUUACCGAUCGAAAAAACUUAUCACAAAGUGAAAACAGCUUAAAUAUCUUCUAAAAGAAACAAGUGUAAUUGUUGUUAAUAUUUGUUUGAAUUAUUUUGAUGUUUGUGAUUCUUGUGUAGAGAUUAACUGAAGAGCAUAAGGGUGUAACUCCAUCUUUGGUCAUUUGGAUGAGAAAGUCAAUUAUGUCAUGAUAAAGAAAUGGACCUUAGAUAAUUCAACAUGUUAGCACCAAUGAAUAGGUGAGAUAAUUUGCUCCUGAUAUUUCUGGACUGACUGCAUUUCAGGUGAUAAACAAAGCUAGCAAAUUUUAGAUAUACUAGCUUUUAAUGAAGGGAUGAUCGAAAAUCCUUUCUAAGGAUCCAUGAACCGUUGGUAUUAGAUCCUUUCUAAGUAUCCAAGAACCAGUUAAUAAUACUCAUCGGCCGGGGCUAAAUCACGAUCCAAUUCUUAAUCUGUACUUUCCUGAAGUAUUCUGGCUCUUAGCGAAGGAAGCUGUCAUAAACAGGAAUAUUAAGUGUUCAAGAAUGAUAUGUAAAUAACCUCUGUAAAUAACUUUAUUUUCUCGAGAAACGUUACUGAAUGUUUGGAAGUCCACAAAUGUUCUCAAAUUUUUUCUAUAUUGCUCAUAUAGAAAAGGAUGUAUAGAAGAGGCAGCAUGUACUGAUGUUUCGCCCCUACUGAUGGCAGUUCUACUGUUUAUUGUGGUAAGAUGUGGCAGUUCCAUAAGAAUAUGGAAGACGUCCAAGUUGCAUGAGUUUUUCUGCAUUGGCAUGAGCAAGACUAUUUCUUAACUGUUUUGUUUUAAUAAUAGCACUUCAUAUUUAUACCCAGACCUAGGUAAUAAUUCCCCCCCCCCCCCCCCCCCCCUAUAACCUUGUCUACUUCAAGCUUUAACUAUUGUGUUAUGUCUGUAUCUUGCUUUAAUUACUUGUUCUACUAUAAAGGGUAAUCAAAUGUCCAGAUGAAGUUUCAAUGACUUCUAUGAUUCUGUCCGCACCAUUGAACUUUUUGAGUCUUUCGUGUAAAAAAUUUCAUUCUUUUAUUCACCAAAUACAAAAGUUAACUAAAGCAUUUAGUAUUCCAAAUAAUUUAUGUUAUGAUCUCAGCUCAUCCAAUUGUUUUCACAGUUCAUCAAAGUUGGACAUAUUGCUGCAGGGAUAUUCCCCAAGAGCAUGUUUUAAACCAAUAUCUUCUGUAAGCAGGUAUGCUCUGAUAUUUUGAACAUACUACUGGUCUUUUAUAUUUUUUCAUAAAAUAUAAUUCAGUAGAUUGACCGAAUAAUAGAUUCAAAUAUUUUGCUCUUACCAUUUCAAUGGAUGAAUCAGAAACAUAGGUUUACUCAUUCUAUAUAAUAGUGAUCAGUAACUCUUUAUCCCUCUUUUUUCACUGUAGAACUUAGUCAUAUUUGUUUUAAAUUAUCAAUCGAAAAAUACAAUCUUUGUGGGUACAGAGAAGACAAUUCUUAAUGCUAGGUUUGGGUAUUAAUGCAAUUCUUAUUAUUUUACAGAAAAAGGGAUGAUGAAAAAAGAAAAGAAACAUUCUCUUUGAAAUAGUACGCUUAUACAUUUUGUAUUUCAGGAUGCGCAUUGAGUACAUGUGAGAUUUUUGGCAGAGCCUGAUCGGAUUGCGGAAGAAUUACUGCAACCAGAUGGCUAUCUCAAAUUGAAAGGGUCUCAAAUCUCUCUUUAACCAAUAAUUUCAAAUUUUACCACAGAAGCAUGGUUAUCUUUGUUUACAAUUAACCAUUACUUUGGAUUGCAAAUUAUUAGAGCAUCAGCAAGAUUAUCUGGUUAUAAUCUUUUGUUACAAAUAAAGACAACUUUAGACUACAAAUUGUUCGCAUGGGCAAGAUUGUCUAGUGUGUGUGUGUAUAUAUAUAUAUGUAUAUGUAUAUUCAUUCAAUUUGUUCAGAAUUUUAUGAGAUGUUAAAGAUGUCACAAAU